RNAcentral lists this long non-coding RNA (1825 nucleotides) under Anas platyrhynchos platyrhynchos (common mallard). RNAcentral describes it as "lncRNA (ENSAPLG00000022894.1)". The record is from RNAcentral. Lineage: Eukaryota; Metazoa; Chordata; Aves; Anseriformes; Anatidae.
UGAAGACAUGAACACAUUUCCAGUGAAUUAGCUAGAGCAUGCAACACAAACUUUAUGUUAGCUGUGGGAAGACCAAUGACACAUGGUAAAGUCUAUUAAUGAUAUUAAGUUAACAUACCAGAAGUUUUGCACUAAUUUGAAUCAGCAAAGCAAGUUUACAGGGGAUCAGCACCUGGCUCCUUGCAUCUGCAACAGUCUGAUCUGGCACUGGGAAAACAAGACAGGCUUUCCUGCAUCACAAAAUCAUGGCCUCAGAAACCCCAGUGUGGUGGAUUUGAUUAGUAUCCAGUCCUAUUCCCUUUACAAUUCAUGUGUGCUCUAGAGUGUUCAUAUGCCAGAGAAUGCUCUUUGGGAUUCAAUAAGUAAGGCAUAUUAUGAUGAAUAUGCCAAUUAUUUUUCUCCUUGGUGCUAUAUAAGUAUGUAAGUAUCAAUCACCUUAUCUUCCCUUUCUCUCUUCUCUCUCUAUUUAUCAUUCUUCUUGAUUUUCUCUUUCCUGGCUUUGUUCUGUCUGGCUCUUUACUAGUUAUCUCUUGGUUAUUUCCCCCCCUUUCUCUAUCUUCUUGCUUCCCUUUCUUUUUGAUGGCUCAACAAGAUCAUCUUUCCUAUAACUCACUCCACCCCUCCUCCUUGUUGAUCUCUUUCUGGAUGCUGAGCCCUGCAGACUGCUCAUCAGCUUUCCUUCACUCAGGAGCAGAGCAAGCUAUUUUCAUCAACCAUAGCAGAAUGGGUGAUAAACAAUAUUCCUCUUCCUGCUUGCAGAUUUGUAAUUCUGGCUGCUGUGUCACAAGAACGAAGGACUCAGAGCACCAGCUUUUUGAAUUCUGAAUCUUUCAAAAUCAUGAGUACAUCUUAUAUCUGGAAAUUCAAUCAUCUUUGUAUUACUUGAUGAUAUCCUGUAAGAAGUAAAUAAUAAUCUGGGAGUAUAUUCAGUACUUUGUGCUUUUGUUUUUCUUAUGGAACAUGCAAAAUUUCAGUUUUGAUCUCAUUCAGCUGAUGCCUUUACCCAUGCAAAACAAAAGGUGGUCCCUGCCCAUAGGAGUAUAUGGUCUCAACCACAGUUUGCAGAGACAUAGGGCAACACAUAAGUGGUGCCAGAUGGAACAAUGGAGAGAAAAACAGACGCUCUAAAAAUAUACAUCCACUUUAGAGUAAAGUAGACCAAGCCUCCAAAGCAUCUCUUUCUCUGGAGAGAUUGCAAAAGGAAUAUUAAGAUUUCAGAUCCAGACAUCCACUUUACAGGUGUCUAAAAUUAAAGGAAUUGAAUCUCAAAGAGUCAGAAUAGCUAUUUACUGCCAAUUUUCUUAGGGAAUCACAAGCUUGAGACUGUAUAUAAAAGGACAAGAAAAGAACUGGUUUUGUGCAAAUUUAUAUGGAGAUGAUCUCAGUCAUGAGAUCAUGCUGCCUGGCAGAAAGAACCAAUGUGAGUUUUUGAGAUUUUACCACAUGGCUAAUGGAAACUGAUAUUGUGGAUGGAUCAAAAACAAGAGGUGAGAAAUGACAGAUCUUCCUUACCAGGUAAAGUCAGCCCUGAAUGUGUAGAGAUUUUAGAAAAGUUGUUACAAAUAUAUUGGGUGAUGUCAAAUGAAAGCCACCAAGUUUUGAUGCAGAAAAUCUAGACAUUUGGAAUUAUACAGUACUUUUCACAAAAGUAGUGCUUGCCUCUAGUGAAAAAAUACAAAAAAAAAAAAAGGCACUCUUUCUAUAUGAACAAGAAUUUUUUUCACGAGAAAUACAAAAAUCAGUAAUGUCUUGCUGCUUACUUCUCUGUUCUCUUUCAUAACCAAAUUUUUCUAUUUUCUUCACUACAGACAUUUUUCCAAGGUCU